GAAAUCGUGAGAGAUCGUCCGAAGGAAGCCGGAGUGCAAAACUAUGAGCCAACGAACAGAAACAGCAUACAAGGCUGAGUUUCCGGGCAAGUCA
Molecule: non-coding RNA, 94 nt
Organism: Smithella sp. SCADC
Lineage: Bacteria; Pseudomonadati; Thermodesulfobacteriota; Syntrophia; Syntrophales; Smithellaceae
Source: Rfam